This 379-nucleotide ribosomal RNA is filed under the name uncultured bacterium. RNAcentral's name for it is "bacterial SSU rRNA". It matches the Rfam family "Bacterial small subunit ribosomal RNA", at positions 28 to 407 of the family's 1533-position model. The record is from RNAcentral.
GACGAACGCUGGCGGCGUGCUUAACACAUGCAAGUCGAGCGGUAAGGCCCUUUCGGGGGUACACGAGCGGCGAACGGGUGAGUAACACGUGGGUGACCUGCCCUUAGCUCUGGGAUAAGCCUGGGAAACUGGGUCGUAAUACCGGAUAUGACUCCAUAACGCAUGUUGUGGGGUGGAAAGCCUUGUGCGGCUAGGGAUGGGCCCGCGGCCUAUCAGCUUGUUGGUGGGGUGAUGGCCACCAAGGCGACGACGGGUAGCCGGCCUGAGAGGGCGACCGGCCACACUGGGACGUGAGACACGGCCCAGACUCCUACGGGAGGCAGCAGUGGGGAAUCUUGCGCAAUGGGCGAAAGCCUGACGCAGCGACGCCGCGUGGGGA